Molecule: long non-coding RNA, 5069 nt
Organism: Pongo pygmaeus (Bornean orangutan)
Lineage: Eukaryota; Metazoa; Chordata; Mammalia; Primates; Hominidae
Exons: 4
Source: RefSeq, a predicted model, not a curated record
UAAAUAACAGACAGAAGCAAUCGCCACACGCUCGCGAUCGCUGCGAAAGCAGGAUCCGCUCGCCCGCCCUAGGCCAGGAAGCAGGAGCACUGCGCCUGCGCAAGAGGACGGCUGCCGCCCUGGAGCAAAGAGGGUCGUGGUCAGAAAGAAGUUGGGAGGCUUCCAGUACCAGACAAAAUGGAGUAAGGUACUGCAGUCUCUGCCACUGAUCACAACUAAAAAUGCUGGACAAAAUGUAACUAAGGACUCCGAAAAGUAAACAAGCAGCCAAAUUGUGGAAGGGAAUCAAAGCUUGAAGAAACUAUCUGUAUGGGCAGAUGGAGACCAUGGAAGAGGAAGUCAAUGAACUUGAAGAUAGAUGAAGAGAAAUUAUCUACUCUGAAGAACAGAAAGAAAAAAAGAUUGAAAAAAUAAUGAACAGUCUCAGGGUCUAAUGUUCAUAUUAUUGGAGGCCCAGGGGACAAAUAAGAGAUUGGUGCAGAAAAGGAAAUACUUGAAGAAAUACGCUCAAAUUUGAUGAAAGAUAUAAAAUUACAGAUUCAAGAAAAUUAAUGAACCCCAAACAGGACGAAUGCAAAAAAUGAACAAACUCCAGAAAACAAACACAAACAACUUACACUCAGACACAUAAUCAAACUCCAGAAACUUAAAAAAAAAACAAACUCAAAAGCAGUCUGCAAAACAAUACAGAAGUUCCCGAGAAAAUUAAAAAAUAGAAUUACCAGCAAUUCCACUUCUGAGUAUAUACUCAAAUAAUUGGAAGCUGGGUCUCGAAGAGAUGUUUGCACACCAUUGUUCAUAGCAGCAUCAUUCACAAUAGUCAAAAGAUAGAAGCAACACAAGUGCCCGUCAACAGAUGAAUGGAUAAACAAAAUGUGGUACAUACACACAAUCAAAAUUUAAUCUUAAAAAAGGAAGGAAAUUCUGAUCCAUGCUAAAACGUGGAUGAACCUUGAGGACAUUAUGCUUAAUGAAAGAAGCCAGUCACGAAAAGACAAAUACUAUAUGCUUCCACUUCUGUGAGGUAUCUAGAAAAUUCAAAUUCAAAAAGACAGAAAGUAGAAUGGUGGUUGCCAGGGGCUGGGGGCAGAAGAGAAUGGGAGCUGUUGUUUAAAGGGUAUAGAGUGUCACUUUUGCAAGGUGAGAGUUUUGGAGAUUGAUCGCACACAAUGUGAAUGUGCCUAACACUACUGUACACUUAAAAAUGAUUAAGAUGCCAAGUUUUCUGAUAUGUACAUUUUACCAGUUUUUUGUUUUUAAAAAAAGCCUGAGAAAAAUAAUGAAUUAAACACAGAAAAUUAUUCAAUGACUGUGGAUUUCUUGUUUUUUUUUUUUUUUGAGAUGGAGUCUCGCUCUGUCACUCAGGCUGGAGUGCAGUGGUGCAACCUCAGCUCACUGCAACCUCCACUUCUCGAGUUCAAGCGAUUCUCCUGCCUCAGCCUCCUGAGUAGCUGGGACUACAGGCAUGGGCCACCAUGCCCGGCUAAUUUUUGUGUUUUUAGUAGAGACGGGGUUUUUCACCAUAUUGGCCAGGCUGGUCUCGAACUCCUGACCUCGUGAUCACCCCGCCUCGGCCUCCCAAAGUGCUGUGAUUACAGGCAUGACUGUGAAUUUCUUAUCAGAAGCCAUGGAAAAAAAGAUGAUGGAACAAGACGGGUAAAGUGCCAGAAAGUAAAAAAAAAUCUAUAUCACGAGAAAAUAGAUUCAGGAAUGAAGGCAAAAUAAAGGCAUUCUCAGAUGAAAGAAAACUAAGAGAACUGUUGGCAGAUCUGUUCUAAGUGCUAAAGAAAGUUGUUUAGGCUGAAGGGAAACAACUGUACCAGAAAGAAACCUGGAACUUAAGGACUGAAGGAAGAACAUGACAGGUAAAGUCUCCUCUUCAGUUCCUUCAAAUAUGUACGACUGUUGAGAACAAAAUGAUAAUAGUAUCUGGUAAGGUUUUCAAUGGAUGUAGAUGUAAUUCAUGUAAUGAUUAUAAAGGAAGGAAGGAUUAAGGACCUAAAUGGUUGUUAAGACUUCUGAAUUUUAAUUGAAGAGAUAAAAUAUAAACUCUAAAUAGACUGUGAACAACUUUAGGUACGUAUAUUGUAAUCUUCAGAGCAAUCUCUUAAAAAAUAUAGAGAUAUAGCCAAAAGCCAAUAAAUAUGUUAUUCAAAUAAUUCAAAAGAUGACAGGAAAGGGUGGGGGGAAGUAACAAACAUAAAAGGGAACAAACAGAAAAAGAAAUAAAAUGGUAGAUUAAAUCCAACCAUAUUAAUAAUAUUAAUUGCAAAUGGCUUAAAUGUACCAAUUAAAAACAAGAGAUUGUCAGACUGGAUUGGAGAACAAGACCCAACUACACCGUCUUUAAGAAAUCCAUAUUGGCCGGGCGCGGUGGCUCAUGCCUGUAAUCCCAGCACUUUGGGAGGCCGAGGCGGGCAGAUCACAAGGUUAGGAGAUCGAGACCAUCCUGGCUAACAUGGUGAAACCCUGUCUCUACUAAAAAUACAAAAAAUAAGCUGGGUGUGGUGGCGGGCCCCUGUAGUCCCAGCUACUCGGGAGGCUGAGGCAGGAGAAUGGCAUGAACCCGGGAGGUGGAGCGUGCCGUGAGCUGAGAUCGUGCCACUGUACUCCAGCCUAGGCAACAGAGCAAGACUCUGUCUCAAAAAAAAAAAAAGAAAUCCAUAUUGAGGCUGAGCACGGUGGCUCAUGCCUGUAAUCCUAGCACUUUAAGAGGCCGAAGAGGGUGGAUCACCUGAGGUCAAGAGUUGGAGACCAGCCUGGUUAACAUGGCGAAACCCCAUCUCUACUAAAAACACAAAAAUUAGCAGGGUGUGGUGGCGGGCGCCUGUAAUCCCAGCUACUCAGGAGGCUGAGGCAGGAGAAUCACUUGAACCCAGGGGGCAGAGGUUGCAGUGAGCCAAGACUGACCCACUGCACUCCAGCCUGGGGCGACAAAGCAAGACUCCAUCUCAAAAAAAUAAAAAAUAAAAUAAGAAAUCACAUUGGACAUAAAGACAUAGAUAGGUUAAAAGUAAAGGAAGGAAAAUAAGUUUGGAGACCAGCGAGUGGUUUGAAGAGGUUUGGGCUUUCCUUUCAGAUAGCUGGGUUGAGUGGGGCAGGUUUAGUGGGGUCACUAUUGAGACAAGCUUAGUAUCCAUACAAGCAAAAGUAGCCCAGGGUCUGGCUCCCAGAUUCCCCACAAUGGCUCUCACUUCAGGCAGGGACUGUCACACUCACCCUGCAGAAGCCACACCACCUGCAGAACCAAACUGAACGGGAAUUCUCCUUGCUUCCAAGAAUUCUAAUUCAGCCUUUGCCAAAGCAAGGGGAUGCCUUUCCUUGGGAGAUGCCUUGGUUGGCCAUGGUUGUGGGCGUGUGGCACCUAUCCUGGCAAGCUGGCACAGGCUCAGAAGACCCUGGUCUUGUGGUACUGCACUUUAGGCUGAUUCUGUGGGAAGCUCAUCUUUUUCAUCAUGAAUCUAAAAUCAUCACCUUGGCAUCUAUGGCAGCUUCCAAAACUGUCUCCAACCAGGAAAUGAAUAUUGGAUGUCCUGAGAGAGGUAGAGUACCAGAAUCCUUUUAGCCAGGCAUAUGGCUGCCUGCAAUGGACUCAUCUUCCCAACCUCUCCUACAACUAGGUGCAACCUACCAUGGACUAAGUUCUGCUGUGAGUUGUAGGAGGAGGUACAAUGGGGCACCUUCCUGGAACCUUCCUUACAACACUGCUGGCACAUUUCCUUUUUCUUCUUUGUCACCUCUUUAAUUCAUCUGUGUAAAAAUAGCUGGAGUGCUGGCUACUAUCCUGACCAAGAAGACCUAGGGAGGGAGUCCAGGUACCUAAGCACUUUGUGAAACAGAGUCAUCUUACUAGCCCUGGGUUGCCUACUUUUGGGCAUUUAUGUGAGGGAGAAGUAAAUUCUCAUCCUGUGUAAGUCACUGUUAUUUAUUUAUUUGUUUAUUUAUUUAGAGACGGAGUCUCGCUCUUGUUGCCCAGGAUGGAGUGCAAUAGUGUGAUCUCGGCUCACUGCAACCUCCACCUUCCCGGGUUCAAGUGAUUCUCCUGCCUCAGCCUCGUGAGUAGCUGGGAUUACAGGUGCCCACCACCAUGCCUGGCUAAUUUUUUUUGUAUUUUUAGUAGAGACGGGGUUUCACUAUGUUGGCUCGGCUGGUCUCAAACUCCUGACCUUGUGAUCCACCUGCCUUGGCCUCCCAAAGUGCUGGGAUUACAGGCAUGAACCACUGUGUCCGCCCUAUUUUGGUUUUUAUUACACACAGCUGAAUUUAAUGUUUAUGUGGUUCCUAAUGACUGAAACCAAGAAAUACUCUCAAAUAAAUCCUAGGAAGGAAUUCUGGGUGGAGAAACCAUUCCAACCUGUCCUUUGUAGAUGAAAUGUAAUCAGCUACCUUUCUUGAGAUAUUUCACAGUAAGGUUACCAAGAAAAAAAACAACAGCUGACAACCAAAAAAAGACUUAAAGACAACCCUACAUGGCGGCCGUCUUAGUUCUUUCUGCUUUGGUGGAAACACACUGAACAGGCAAGCCAGGAGGACACCGGAUCUCUGGUUCUGACUUUGAUGCUGUCUUCCUUGGCCUUGGCUUGGAUUUUCCUCCGUGAAUGAGGGGGUUAAACUAGAUAUCUCCAAGUUUUCAUCCAGCACUGAAAUUCUAGUCUGUUUUCUACCCUCCAUCAGAUGACAUACUUCUUUUAGAUGAAUGAAAUAAUCCAUGUAAAGUGCUUCUCAGAGUGGUUGGCAAGUUAACUCUUUUUAGUAGUUUCAUUUACCAAGUUACUCAUUUUUGUAGUUUCCACAGUACCUUUCACAGAUGGAUGUCGGCUAAGUGUUUGCUGGUUGAUCCUCUGCUGAGGCCCUGCUCACCUCACAGAAGGCCUGACUGCACACCUACUAGUAUCAGCAAGAAAAACUCAGGAAGAGGAGACUCUUUAGGUUCCAUGGACACAUACGGGAGAAAAACCAGCAGAUGGAGGAGGAAAUACACCAUUUAUUUACAAUUCUUUUCACUUUAUCCACAAUUUCCCAUACAAACAUAAAAACUAAAAAAAUAAAACCACCACUUGGGAACACAA